CGUGGGUAACCUGCCUGUAAGACUGGGAUAACUCCGGGAAACCGGGGCUAAUACCGGAUGGUUGUUUGAACCGCAUGGUUCAGACAUAAAAGGUGGCUUCGGCUACCACUUACAGAUGGACCCGCGGCGCAUUAGCUAGUUGGUGAGGUAACGGCUCACCAAGGCGACGAUGCGUAGCCGACCUGAGAGGGUGAUCGGCCACACUGGGACUGAGACACGGCCCAGACUCCUACGGGAGGCAGCAGUAGGGAAUCUUCCGCAAUGGACGAAAGUCUGACGGAGCAACGCCGCGUGAGUGAUGAAGGUUUUCGGAUCGUAAAGCUCUGUUGUUAGGGAAGAACAAGUGCCGUUCAAAUAGGGCGGCACCUUGACGGUACCUAACCAGAAAGCCACGGCUAACUACGUGCCAGCAGCCGCGGUAAUACGUAGGUGGCAAGCGUUGUCCGGAAUUAUUGGGCGUAAAGGGCUCGCAGGCGGUUUCUUAAGUCUGAUGUGAAAGCCCCCGGCUCAACCGGGGAGGGUCAUUGGAAACUGGGGAACUUGAGUGCAGAAGAGGAGAGUGGAAUUCCACGUGUAGCGGUGAAAUGCGUAGAGAUGUGGAGGAACACCAGUGGCGAAGGCGACUCUCUGGUCUGUAACUGACGCUGAGGAGCGAAAGCGUGGGGAGCGAACAGGAUUAGAUACCCUGGUAGUCCACGCCGUAAACGAUGAGUGCUAAGUGUUAGGGGGUUUCCGCCCCUUAGUGCUGCAGCUAACGCAUUAAGCACUCCGCCUGGGGAGUACGGUCGCAAGACUGAAACUCAAAGGAAUUGACGGGGGCCCGCACAAGCGGUGGAGCAUGUGGUUUAAUUCGAAGCAACGCGAAGAACCUUACCAGGUCUUGACAUCCUCUGACAAUCCUAGAGAUAGGACGUCCCCUUCGGGGGCAGAGUGACAGGUGGUGCAUGGUUGUCGUCAGCUCGUGUCGUGAGAUGUUGGGUUAAGUCCCGCAACGAGCGCAACCCUUGAUCUUAGUUGCCAGCAUUCAGUUGGGCACUCUAAGGUGACUGCCGGUGACAAACCGGAGGAAGGUGGGGAUGACGUCAAAUCAUCAUGCCCCUUAUGACCUGGGCUACACACGUGCUACAAUGGACAGAACAAAGGGCAGCGAAACCGCGAGGUUAAGCCAAUCCCACAAAUCUGUUCUCAGUUCGGAUCGCAGUCUGCAACUCGACUGCGUGAAGCUGGAAUCGCUAGUAAUCGCGGAUCAGCAUGCCGCGGUGAAUACGUUCC
Molecule: ribosomal RNA, 1272 nt
Filed under: unidentified
Description: bacterial SSU rRNA
Rfam family: Bacterial small subunit ribosomal RNA
Source: RNAcentral